AACAGGAUUAGAUACCNUGGUAGUCCAUGCUGUAAACGAUGAGUGCUAAGUGUUGGGAGGUUUCCGCCUNUCAGUGCUGCAGCUAACGCAUUAAGCACUCCGNCCUGGGGAGUACGACCGCAAGGUUAAAAACUCAAAGGAAUUGACGGNGGCCCGCACAAGCGGUGGAGCAUGUGGUUUAAUUNGAAGCAACGNGAAGAACCUUACCAGGUCUUGACAUCUAGUGCCAACUUAAGAGAUUAGGCGUUCCCUUCGGGGACACUAAGACAGGUGGUGCAUGGCUGUCGUCAGCUCGUGUCGUGAGAUGUUGGGUUAAGUCCCGCAACGAGCGCAACCCUUAUUAUUAGUUGCCAGCAUUAAGUUGGNCACUCUAAUGAGACUGCCGGUGACAAACCGGAGGAAGGUGGGGAUGACGUCAAGUCAUCAUGCCCCUUAUGACCUGGGCUACACACGUGCUACAAUGGGCAGUACAACGAGGAGCGAACUUGUGAAGGCAAGCGAAUCUCUGAAAGCUGUUCUCAGUUCGGACUGUAGGCUGCAACUCGCCUACACGAAGCUGGAAUCGCUAGUAAUCGCGGAUCAGCACGCCGCGGUGAAUACGUUCCCGGGCCUUGUACACACCGCCCGUCACACCAUGAGAGUUUGUAACACCCAAAGCCGGCCGGAUAACCUAGUUUACUAGGAGUCAGCCGU
Molecule: ribosomal RNA, 693 nt
Filed under: uncultured Lactobacillus sp.
Lineage: Bacteria; Bacillati; Bacillota; Bacilli; Lactobacillales; Lactobacillaceae
Description: bacterial SSU rRNA
Rfam family: Bacterial small subunit ribosomal RNA
Source: RNAcentral